UACAGAGGGUGCGAGCGUUAAUCGGAAUUACUGGGCGUAAAGCGCGCGUAGGCGGCUUGUUAAGUCAAAUGUGAAAUCCCCGAGCUUAACUUGGGCAUUGCAUUCGAUACUGGCAAGCUAGAGUAUGGGAGAGGAAGGUAGAAUUCCAGGUGUAGCGGUGAAAUGCGUAGAGAUCUGGAGGAAUACCGAUGGCGAAGGCAGCCCCCUGGGUCGAUACUGACGCUCAUGCACGAAAGCGUGGGGAGCAAACAGG
RNAcentral lists this ribosomal RNA (253 nucleotides) under uncultured bacterium. RNAcentral describes it as "partial 16S ribosomal RNA". It matches the Rfam family "Bacterial small subunit ribosomal RNA", at positions 524 to 776 of the family's 1533-position model. The record is from RNAcentral.